Wyeomyia smithii (pitcher-plant mosquito) is the source of this 647-nucleotide long non-coding RNA. RefSeq lists it as uncharacterized. The record is from RefSeq and is a predicted model, not a curated record. The transcript has 3 exons. Lineage: Eukaryota; Metazoa; Arthropoda; Insecta; Diptera; Culicidae.
UGUGUGAACGCAAAUAUUCUACCGGUCUGCUUGCGCGAGCCAGGGAAGAAUUAGGGUGUAUUUGUUUAUACUUGGAACGAAAUUGACAUUUAACGUUCCGCUAUAAAUAUUUAUCAAUAAUUAUAAAGUCAAGCCCCAAAAUUAGACAUGGCUUUGCUGCGCGGUGUAGUGAAAUGAUCGACUCUCGGGAAAACAAACGAACGUGAGAUGUGUUUAGACCGUGGCCAGAGCGAACGGAACUUGUUGGCUAGCAGAAUUGCUGCGAAAAUUGAUAUGAACAUUAAUAACUGUGAUUCAAAUCUCAACUAUGAAAUUCAUAUUCGCUUGUAAUUAGUUAAUCCGUUUUAUAAGAUAUGACGAUGAUUUUGAACACCAUCUAUCUAGAAAGCAAUCGUGGUGAACACCCGAAAGUUGGACGGUACUAAACCACAUCAGUAUUGUGCGACAUUAGGGUCCAAUUUAAUCACAUUUUAAUGUACUGUUCAAACUGCCCACCAGUGUAUUGUUCAAACUUGUUGAAGCUCGGUACUUGUUCCAUCAUUCUCCGCAUUGUCACACGUAUUAUUAUAUGAUUCAUCGAGCUGUAUAAAUAACGCGGCACUGGAAGAAAUUGCUCUACAGUUAUACUUGUUCCCUCAUCUCCAGUG